RNAcentral lists this ribosomal RNA (506 nucleotides) under uncultured bacterium. RNAcentral's name for it is "partial 16S ribosomal RNA". It matches the Rfam family "Bacterial small subunit ribosomal RNA", at positions 29 to 523 of the family's 1533-position model. The record is from RNAcentral.
AGUGAACGCUGGCGGUAGGCCUAACACAUGCAAGUCGAACGGCAGCACAGGAGAGCUUGCUCUCUGGGUGGCGAGUGGCGGACGGGUGAGGAAUACAUCGGAAUCUACUCUGUCGUGGGGGAUAACGUAGGGAAACUUACGCUAAUACCGCAUACGACCUACGGGUGAAAGCAGGGGAUCUUCGGACCUUGCGCGAUUGAAUGAGCCGAUGUCGGAUUAGCUAGUUGGCGGGGUAAAGGCCCACCAAGGCGACGAUCCGUAGCUGGUCUGCGAGGACGAUCAGCCACACUGGAACUGAGACACGGUCCAGACUCCUACGGGAGGCAGCAGUGGGGAGUAUUGGACAAUGGGCGCAAGCCUGAUCCAGCCAUACCGCGUGGGUGAAGAAGGCCUUCGGGUUGUAAAGCCCUUUUGUUGGGAAAGAAAUCCAGCUGGCUAAUACCCGGUUGGGAUGACGGUACCCAAAGAAUAAGCACCGGCUAACUUCGUGCCAGCCGCCGCAGUAA